GGUUUCCUGCGGUGUUCGUCCGGGCUUACAUCUUCGAGCCGAUAAUUUGUUAAGCAUGGACGCUCGCCUGAUGAGUGCUAUUGUGCGCGUCCCAUGCGGAUGUACCUGCGGCACUCGGUGAGCGACCGCCUUGGACCUGUGGGUUCGAGUGCGGCCCGGACGAACACCGCAGGAAAUCC
Molecule: non-coding RNA, 179 nt
Filed under: Betaproteobacteria bacterium
Lineage: Bacteria; Pseudomonadati; Pseudomonadota; Betaproteobacteria
Description: 6S RNA
Rfam family: 6S / SsrS RNA
About the family: E. coli 6S RNA was the first non coding RNA to be sequenced, but its function was unknown until recently. It consists of 184 nucleotides that fold into an extended hairpin structure with a large single-stranded internal bulge. The 6S RNA specifically associates with RNA polymerase holoenzyme containing the sigma70 specificity factor.
Source: RNAcentral